This is a long non-coding RNA of Microplitis demolitor, 499 nucleotides long. RefSeq lists it as uncharacterized. The record is from RefSeq and is a predicted model, not a curated record. The transcript has 3 exons. NCBI's taxonomy places the organism in Eukaryota, Metazoa, Arthropoda, Insecta, Hymenoptera, Braconidae.
GUCAAGUUGUUAAGUAUAUUUGCAAUAUUUUGCUAAAGUAAAAUCAACGAAGUGACUUUUUUACUUUAUUAAAUAUUACACAGUAAAACACGGUGUGAAUGUGUCUUAACUCAUUUUGCAGUUUGAUUAAGAAAACGAAGUUAACAAUUACUAACAUUUAAUUGAUGAAGAAUCGCAUUAUUUCUCGGAAGUGCUAAUCGUUUUUUACACUAUUUCUAACUCGAAGGUUAAAGUUUUUGUAGUAUAUAUGGUAUGUAUGAUAUAGACUAAUCUCAGCUUUCAAUGGAGAUCACCACAGUGAAAAUGAAAAAUUUGCAGCCGUACCAGAUUUGGAACUCGUUUAUUAUAUUUUUUGAGUAGUAUAAACCAUAUUUUGAAUCAUUCCAAAACAAUGUUACACAUGACAGUUGAUUACUAUUGAUGAUAUCGAGUCCACCUUUCAACAUUAACUUGCAGAAGUCAUAUAUAUUUCAAUUGGUUUUCUCUCCGUUGAAGUUGA